Long non-coding RNA from Cynoglossus semilaevis (tongue sole), 1801 nucleotides. RefSeq lists it as uncharacterized. The record is from RefSeq and is a predicted model, not a curated record. Lineage: Eukaryota; Metazoa; Chordata; Actinopteri; Pleuronectiformes; Cynoglossidae. The transcript is spliced from 3 exons.
UGAGUUUUGUUUGUAGGUUCUUUCAAAUAUUUUUGUAUAGUUGUACUGAAGCACUGCUACAACUACUUAGUGAGCAAAUACACACGUUUUGUUGUUGUUUUUGGUUUGUUUUGUUUUUUGUGACAGACACUAUACAUAGCUUUAGCUUACCUGACUUUAUUCUUAAAGUGCCUGCUAAAUAUAUUUUUGUAUUUGUGUUCUGUUUAUAUUUGUAUGUCGGCGUAGACCUGUGAAAUGUUUCCAUAAGGAAAAUGCCCCCACUAAAUACGACACAAGUGUAGCCACACCAAGAACGAGCGCGCGCGCCACCUCCCUCUGCUCUCUGAGCAGUUAGAAAUUCAAAACCCAACCGCCUCGCUCAAUCUCCCGUCCUGCAUCGCGGCCCCGAAAGCCUGUGACGGUUCUUUUAAUUUAGAAUAAAAAUUUAAAAUAAAUCACAGAAGGCAUAUUAUUCGAAAAUAUUACCAGGACUCGAUUGUGCUCAACCACACGCACAUUUUCAUGCGUUUAAAACAACGAUAAGUGUUUAUUUCAAUUUCUAUUUAUUUUUUUUGCGUGUGUGACGGGUGCGAGUGUGUGUGUAGCAGAGGAGCACAGUGGUUGGCGCCACAUUCAAAUCCUCCACUGACACAGAAUGAGAGUCUGACUUCAAAUUCAUUACACAGCAGAUUGUUUACUUUUUUUAAGGACACGUAACAUUACAGCAAUACAAGGAUUACUGACACGUCAUUUAUUAUUUGGAUUAUUUUUCUUCCGAAGAGUCUCUUUCAUAACAUUUUGUUGAAGAUGGAGGCAAAGAGCAUAUAUGCCCAGGGGGCGCUCUAGCAGCACAUCAUGAUUUGCAGAUCUGAACUUGAAUCACUCCAAAUCAUUGUGUGCUGCCACUGUGAACCCUGGCUCCACAGCGCCCCCCCAGGAGCUGCUGUACUCCAUGUUUCUUAUACUUAUGACUUAAGUGACUGGCUACUUCCUUUGAAAGGUAAACGCUAUAGGAGCUGGUCGUUGCUCUGCGUGAUUUUUAUUGAAUUUUUUCCCCCCAGUUUUUCUCUUGUAAACCAAGAGUAUUUUCUUCUUGUCAGUAUCAGUUUUUCAACGUAUUUCUUAUGCUGUGUAUUUUAAAUAUGAUGGAACUGAGCAAAUGAGAAACUAGACGAAGUUUUAACACCGGACGCUGACAUAUUCUGACUUCCAGGUUUUUUGUUUUGUUUUGUUUGGGGGGUUGUUUGUUUUUGAUGUUUAUAGCUUGUGGGUUUGUUUGUUUUUGAUGUUUAUAGCUUGUACCAAGUGUCUACCAGGAAAAUUGUAAUUAUUCUUUUUAGACUUAGAACCCAGCUGCAAAGCUUCAUCUCCAUGUGGCGACACAUGCUAUUUCUGGCUCUUUUGUUAAUCAUUUUAGAAUUAAAACCAGUUCUAGAUAUCAGAGUUGAAUUUAACAAAUAUUAUACAGUAUAAUACCUAUUAGACCUAGGUAGACUAGAGCGUUUUGUUGUUUUUUUUUUCACGGGAGGGGUGUAAAGCAUUUCCAAACUACUGUAUAUUUUAGUUAAAGACUACGUGGUGGCGUGGUGGUUGGCCCACUUGCCAUACAGCAAUUAGACCUCUGGUUCACCAUUCACCACAUGCCUUUUUACACAGCGCUGCACGUUCUCUGCAUGUGUGCAUUGGAUUUUUCUAGCCAAUUGCACUCCCCCAGCUAAACAAUGCAUGAAUGUGAGCCUGAAAGGUUUGUGUUUUUCGGACCAGGACAUUUUUUUGGAGUAAUUGUUAGUAGUGUGAGAAGCAGCAAUCACCAAUAAGCAAA